This 492-nucleotide ribosomal RNA is filed under the name uncultured bacterium. Its description in RNAcentral is "partial 16S ribosomal RNA". It matches the Rfam family "Bacterial small subunit ribosomal RNA", at positions 29 to 507 of the family's 1533-position model. The record is from RNAcentral.
AGUGAACGCUGGCGGUAGGCCUAACACAUGCAAGUCGAACGGCAGCACAGUAAGAGCUUGCUCUUACGGGUGGCGAGUGGCGGACGGGUGAGGAAUACAUCGGAAUCUACUUUUUCGUGGGGGAUAACGUAGGGAAACUUACGCUAAUACCGCAUACGACCUACGGGUGAAAGCAGGGGAUCUUCGGACCUUGCGCGAUUGAAUGAGCCGAUGUCGGACUAGCUAGUUGGCGGGGUAAAGGCCCACCAAGGCGACGAUCCGUAGCUGGUCUGAGAGGAUGAUCAGCCACACUGGAACUGAGACACGGUCCAGACUCCUACGGGAGGCAGCAGUGGGGAAUAUUGGACAAAGGGCGCAAGCCUGAUCCAGCCAUACCGCGUGGGUGAAGAAGGCCUUCGGGUUGUAAAGCCCUUUUGUUGGGAAAGAAAAGCAGCAGGUUAAUACCCCGCUGUUCUGACGGUACCCAAAGGAUAAGCACCGGCUAACUUCGUG